CGUGAGGGAAAGGUGAAAAGUACCCCGGAAGGGGAGUGAAAUAGUACCUGAAACCGUGUGCCUACAAGUAGUCAAAGCCCGUUAAUGGGUGAUGGCGUACCUUUUGUAGAAUGGACCGGCGAGUUACGAUUUCAUGCGAGGUUAAGUUGAAAAGACGGAGCCGCAGCGAAAGCGAGUCUGAAUAGGGCGAAUAAGUAUGAGGUCGUAGACCCGAAACCAAGUGACCUACCCAUGUCCAGGUUGAAGGUGCGGUAACACGCACUGGAGGACCGAACCCACGCACGUUGAAAAGUGCGGGGAUGAGGUGUGGGUAGCGGAGAAAUUCCAAUCGAACUUGGAGAUAGCUGGUUCUCUCCGAAAUAGCUUUAGGGCUAGCCUCGGAUAUGCGAAUCAUGGAGGUAGAGCACUGUUUGGACUAGGGGCCCUUCUCGGGUUACCGAAUUCAGAUAAACUCCGAAUGCCAUUGAUUUAGAUCCGGGAGUCAGACUGCGAGUGAUAAGAUCCGUAGUCAAAAGGGAAACAGCCCAGACCACCAGCUAAGGUCCCAAAGUAUCUGUUAAGUGGAAAAGGAUGUGGGGUUGCACAGACAACUAGGAUGUUGGCUCAGAAGCAGCCAUCAUUUAAAGAGUGCGUAAUAGCUCACUAGUCGAGUGACCCUGCGCCGAAAAUUUACCGGGGCUAAACAGAUCACCGAAGCUGUGGAUGGAACCCAAUGGGUUCCGUGGUAGGAGAGCGUUCUAAGGGCAUCGAAGCCAGAUCGUGAGGACUGGUGGAGCGCUUAGAAGUGAGAAUGCCGGUAUGAGUAGCGCAAGACGGGUGAGAAUCCCGUCCACCGAAUAACUAAGGUUUCCUGGGGAAGGCUCGUCCUCCCAGGGUUAGUCGGGACCUAAGCUGAGGCCGAUAGGCGUAGGCGAUGGACAACAGGUUGAUAUUCCUGUACCAGUUGCUUUUGUUUGAGCGAUGGAGGGACGCAGGAGGCUAAGGAAUGCACACGAUCGGAAAUGUGUGUCCAAGCAGCAAGUCUGAGAACGAGUGAAAUGCUUUUUCUCUCAAGGACAAGCUGUGAUGGGGAGCGAAAUUUAGUAGCGAAGUUCCUGAUGUCACACUGCCAAGAAAAGCUUCUAGUGAGAAAGUAACUGCCCGUACCGCAAACCGACACAGGUAGUUGAGGAGAGAAUCCUAAGGUGUGCGAGAGAACUCUCGUUAAGGAACUCGGCAAAAUGACCCCGUAACUUCGGGAGAAGGGGUGCUGACCGCAAGGUCAGCCGCAGUGAAUAGGCCCAAGCGACUGUUUAUCAAAAACACAGGUCUCUGCAAAAUCGAAAGAUGACGUAUAGGGGCUGACGCCUGCCCGGUGCUGGAAGGUUAAGAGGAGAGGUUAGCGCAAGCGAAGCUUUGAAUUGAAGCCCCAGUAAACGGCGGCCGUAACUAUAACGGUCCUAAGGUAGCGAAAUUCCUUGUCGGGUAAGUUCCGACCCGCACGAAAGGCGUAACGAUUUGGGCACUGUCUCAACGAGAGACUCGGUGAAAUUAUAGUACCAGUGAAGAUGCUGGUUACCCGCGACAGGACGGAAAGACCCCAUGGAGCUUUACUGCAGUUUGAUAUUGCGUGUUUGUAUCACAUGUACAGGAUAGGUAGGAGCCGAAGAUACCGGGACGCCAGUCUCGGAGGAGGCAACGGUGGGAUACUACCCUUGUGAUAUGACCACUCUAACCCGCUGCUCUUAGCGAGCAGGGAGACAGUGUCAGACGGGCAGUUUGACUGGGGCGGUCGCCUCCAAAAAUGUAACGGAGGCGCCCAAAGGUUCCCUCAGAAUGGUUGGAAAUCAUUCGUAGAGUGUAAAGGCAGAAGGGAGCUUGACUGCGAGACCUACAAGUCGAGCAGGGACGAAAGUCGGGCUUAGUGAUCCGGCGGUAUUCCGAGUGGAAGGGCCGUCGCUCAACGGAUAAAAGCUACCCUGGGGAUAACAGGCUUAUCUCCCCCAAGAGU
Molecule: ribosomal RNA, 1990 nt
Filed under: activated sludge metagenome
Description: bacterial LSU rRNA
Rfam family: Bacterial large subunit ribosomal RNA
Source: RNAcentral